Neolamprologus brichardi is the source of this 269-nucleotide non-coding RNA. Lineage: Eukaryota; Metazoa; Chordata; Actinopteri; Cichliformes; Cichlidae. The record is from RefSeq and is a predicted model, not a curated record.
UGGCUCAGAAGACGACCGAACAGGCUAACGUCGUGGCCGACACCGCUGUUUCUGGGGCCAAUGAGGUUGCCCAGGCAACGGUGCAGGGGGUGGAGAAUGCGGCAGCGGCAACCGGAUUCGUUAGCACGGAGGAGGCGGAGCCAGUGCCUGAGGAGACUGAGCUCCAAAAACCAAACGCAGGAGGAGAACAGACUGAAGAAGCUGCACAGUAGGUGAGAAAGACCAUGAGAGAGUGGUGAUGUUUCAGCUGCAGAUGAAUCUGCAGAGCU